RNAcentral lists this ribosomal RNA (492 nucleotides) under uncultured bacterium. RNAcentral describes it as "partial 16S ribosomal RNA". It matches the Rfam family "Bacterial small subunit ribosomal RNA", at positions 29 to 507 of the family's 1533-position model. The record is from RNAcentral.
AGUAAACGCUGGCGGUAGGCCUAACACAUGCGAGUCGAACGGCAGCACAGUAAGAGCUUGCUCUUACGGGUGGCGAGUGGCGGACGGGUGAGGAAUACAUCGGAAUCUACUUUUUCGUGGGGGAUAACGUAGGGAAACUUACGCUAAUACCGCAUACGACCUACGGGUGAAAGCAGUGGAUCUUCGGACCUUGCGCGAUUGAAUGAGCCGAUGUCGGAUUAGCUAGUUGGCGGGGUAAAGGCCCACCAAGGCGACGAUCCGUAGCUGGUCUGAGAGGAUGAUCAGCCACACUGGAACUGAGACACGGUCCAGACUCCUACGGGAGGCAGCAGUGGGGAAUAUUGGACAAUGGGCGAAAGCCUGAUCCAGCCAUACCGCGUGGGUGAAGAAGGCCUUCGGGUUGUAAAGCCCUUUUGUUGGGAAAGAAAAGCAGCAGGUUAAUACCCCGCUGUUCUGACGGUACCCAAAGAAUAAGCACCGGCUAACUUCGUG